UAAAUAAUAUUUUUUUAUAUAUCCGCAUUAUCUUGUUAAUGGAUUAACACAUUUGCUGAAUUUGUAAUUUAUAUACGUAUAGCUGAAACUGGUCCAUAAAAGAAGCUUGAGUGGGUCGUUAUUGUGUAGCCAUAUAUGUACAAAGACGCGAUCACCUCUCGAACCACCUGGGAACCUCUUCGGAAAAAGAACAGUUCUGAUAUAAAAAAUUUAAAAUAAUAAGAUAUCAAAA
This 232-nucleotide long non-coding RNA is filed under the name Gossypium barbadense (sea-island cotton). RNAcentral's name for it is "long non-coding RNA (GBAR_LNC020197)". Lineage: Eukaryota; Viridiplantae; Streptophyta; Magnoliopsida; Malvales; Malvaceae. The record is from RNAcentral.